This 71-nucleotide transfer RNA is filed under the name Burkholderia pseudomallei. RNAcentral's name for it is "tRNA-Arg(ccg)". The record is from RNAcentral. Lineage: Bacteria; Pseudomonadati; Pseudomonadota; Betaproteobacteria; Burkholderiales; Burkholderiaceae. RNAcentral also lists the same sequence under 1 other name.
GCGCAUUAUGAUGGCAAUUGCCUGCCCUCCGAAGGCAGGGGUUGCUGGUUCGAUCCCAGCCGGGCGCGCCA